UUAAAGAUAAGCUAAAGCUAAGCUGACGGGUUCAUACCCCGUCUAUGGUGCACGCCUCUUUAAA
Molecule: transfer RNA, 64 nt
Filed under: Proasellus cavaticus
Lineage: Eukaryota; Metazoa; Arthropoda; Malacostraca; Isopoda; Asellidae
Description: transfert RNA-M(ATG)
Source: RNAcentral